UUUCUUGAUACGACAAAUUGA
Molecule: non-coding RNA, 21 nt
Filed under: Caenorhabditis elegans
Lineage: Eukaryota; Metazoa; Nematoda; Chromadorea; Rhabditida; Rhabditidae
Source: RNAcentral